ACCAUUUGGAAACAGGUGCUAAUACCGGAUAAUAAAGCAGAUCGCAUGAUCAGCUUUUGAAAGCGGCGUAAGCUGUCGCUAAGGGAUGGCCCCGCGGUGCAUUAGCUAGUUGGUAAGGUAACGGCUUACCAAGGCGACGAUGCAUAGCCGAGUUGAGAGACUGAUCGGCCACAUUGGGACUGAGACACGGCCCCAAACUCCUACGGGAGGCAGCAGUAGGGAAUCUUCCACAAUGGACGCAAGUCUGAUGGAGCAACGCCGCGUGAGUGAAGAAGGUUUUCGGAUCGUAAAGCUCUGUUGUUGGUGAAGAAGGAUAGAGGUAGUAACUGGCCUUUAUUUGACGGUAAUCAACCAGAAAGUCACGGCUAACUACGUG
Molecule: ribosomal RNA, 376 nt
Filed under: uncultured bacterium
Lineage: Bacteria
Description: bacterial SSU rRNA
Rfam family: Bacterial small subunit ribosomal RNA
Source: RNAcentral